GAUGAACGCUGGCGGCGUGCUUAACACAUGCAAGUCGAACGUGAGAGGAUAGCAAUAUUCUUGAAAGUGGCAGACGGGUGAGUAAUACAUAGGUAACCUACCUCAAUGUUGGGGAUAACCUUCCGAAAGGAGGGCUAAUACCGAAUAAGACCACAGGAACUACGGUUCCAGGGGUUAAAGGCGGCUUCGGCUGUCGCAAUGAGAUGGGCUUAUGCAGCAUCAGCUAGUUGGUAAGGUAAUGGCUUACCAAGGCUUUGACGCUUAACUGAUCUGAGAGGUUGAUCAGUCACACUGGAACUGAGACACGGUCCAGACUCCUACGGGAGGCAGCAGUGGGGAAUAUUGGACAAUGGGCGCAAGCCUGAUCCAGCCAUGCCGCGUGAGUGAUGAAGGCCUUAGGGUUGUAAAGCUCUUUCAGUGGGGACGAUAAUGACGGUACCCACAGAAGAAGCCCCGGCUAACUUCGUGCCAGCAGCCGCGGUAAU
This 485-nucleotide ribosomal RNA is filed under the name uncultured bacterium. RNAcentral's name for it is "bacterial SSU rRNA". It matches the Rfam family "Bacterial small subunit ribosomal RNA", at positions 28 to 524 of the family's 1533-position model. The record is from RNAcentral.